Molecule: ribosomal RNA, 441 nt
Filed under: uncultured bacterium
Lineage: Bacteria
Description: partial 16S ribosomal RNA
Rfam family: Bacterial small subunit ribosomal RNA
Source: RNAcentral
CCUACGGGAGGCAGCAGUGGGGAAUAUUGCACAAUGGGGGAAACCCUGAUGCAGCGACGCCGCGUGAGUGAAGAAGUAUUUCGGUAUGUAAAGCUCUAUCAGCAGGGAAGAAGCAAGACGGUACCUGACUAAGAAGCCCCGGCUAACUACGUGCCAGCAGCCGCGGUAAUACGUAGGGGGCAAGCGUUAUCCGGAUUUACUGGGCGUAAAGGGAGUGUAGGCGGGAAAGUAAGAUAGGGGUGAAAUGCCGGGGCUCAACUCCGGAACUGCCUUUGAAACUAGUUUUCUAGAGUGACAGAGAGGUAAGUGGAAUACCCAGUGUAGAGGUGAAAUGCGUAGAUAUUGGGUAGAACACCGGAGGCGAAGGCGGGUAACUGGCUGUCAACUGACGCUGAGGCACGAAAGCAUGGGGAUCAAACAGGAUUAGAUACCCGGGUAGUC